UGAAAGAAUAAGAGAAAUAAUAAAAUCUAAUUGAGAUUUGAAAAUUCAUUUUGAUCUACUUUAGAAAAAUAGUUAAUUGAGUAGGCAUGUUUAAUAGGUUAAAAAAGAUAAAAAAUUAUUAGCCGUAUGUUUCUAUCAAAAACAAGCUAAUGAUGUAAGAGCUCAUAGUUAGUAAUCAAGUGUUGGGCACGUAACAAUAUAUAAAUAAGUGGCGUAACAGAUUGUUGAAGCGAGUUUUUACUUUUGUAGAACAACUGAUAUGCCAUUGUGGUAUAUAUUUCUAUUGUCUUAAUAUUUUCUGUUUAUGUCCGUCUAAUUGAAAUGUUUGGACUCCAAUGUUUAGUUCUUAAUGUACUUAAUUUUUUUUUAUCAGAACAUGUCCAUUGCAUUUAUGCUCCUGUCAUUAAAUCUUGAAUCCAAUAGCUGAAAAUGUUUGAGUUAAUUGUUUUUGGCUUUCCAAACCUUAUUAGAUAGAAAGUUUUACUGAUGUGAUUUCAUUCUUAGUAUGUAAAUAUUGUUGUUUUUUAGUAGUAUAUAAAUAUUGUUAAUUGGUCAAAGUCAUAAAAAAAAUUGAGUUUCAGUUGUGAAAAAAAAGUUGAUAUGAGGAACAUACAAGGUAUGAGCAUGCUAUUAAGAAAAUUCAUGGAGUAUAUUCAUUUGAACAAUGCAUGUGCACUUUUGAUAAAGUUAUGCAGGAUAAAUCUAACGACGUAGUGACAAGAAUCCGAAAGGAAUUUGAAGAGGAAAUGUAAAAGUUCAAUUACUAUUCCUUACAAAUGGAAAUGGAGAUGUUUCAAGCCUGACUUCUCAUUUUAGAGGACUAUAAUAUAAAUGUAAGUCCACAUUUAUUUACCCAAUUUACCUUAAAAAUUUAUAACUCAUACUUUAUAUGCAAGGUAUUCGAAUCUUUUAUUUUUCAACGCAUACUUAUGUGAGGACAAAUGAAACUUUUAAGGUAAAUGUCAAAAUUUAAAUAGUAUUUCAAAGUAUAUCCAAAUAAGAAUAAUAUGAACAUUUAGAUGGUACAUCUUUUAAGGUAUUAUUAUUGAUUAUAUUGAUUAUAAUUUUUAAGUACUUUACAUUAUACAUAUAUGUAUAAGUAUAUGAAAAAUAACUUAUUCAUUGAAUUUAUGUAGGAACAACGAAAGUGCAACAAGGCAAAGGAGGAGAAAGAUAAACUAAUGAUGGAUGUCACAUUGUCAG
This 1203-nucleotide long non-coding RNA is filed under the name Salvia miltiorrhiza (redroot sage). RNAcentral's name for it is "long non-coding RNA (SMIL_LNC005939)". The record is from RNAcentral. Lineage: Eukaryota; Viridiplantae; Streptophyta; Magnoliopsida; Lamiales; Lamiaceae.